UUAGGCUGUUGAUGCACAUCUGUCAGUUUUUAUCACUAAGUUCUUUUUUGUCCUUCACCAUAUUCUGAGAUGCUAGAAGUUGGCUGAUUUUAUCAUGGAGCUCAUCCCUGUCUUUUGUCAGUUAAUCCAUAGAUAAAUUGCAUAACCAACCAGCAUUAUCAUUUUCCUUACUUCCCCCAAACUGUCAUCGUUUUAUAUAUAGGGUCACUAAAUCUAUUACUACUCGCAGUUCCUUAAUCAAUAUAGUCAAAUGCAUUAACUCCAUAGGUUUGUAAUAUAGUUCAUGCCAUGAGCUUUUAGUCUGCCACCUCCUGGAAGACAGGGAGCUGCAGAGGCUUUGAUCAUUGUAGCUGCUGAUUCAUUGAAAAGCCAGUUACAGAUACUUAUAAGAUUCAUCCAUACACUUCUGUUGUUCUAGAACUACUUCUGCUACCAAAAUUUGCAUUAGUCAGGGCAAAAGGCAGCAAACGCUCUGUCUUCCAAGUCCUUAUGUAGGCUUCCGGGCAGAGGGUGUGGCCCAAGUUGAAGGUUGUGUGUUUAUGCUGCAAGAUUCAGAUCAAAGUCAGGUGCCCUUCCACCUCCUAGGUCUAGACUAGAGCUGGGUCCACCCAUUUUAAACCAAGCAGAAAAUCCCUCACAAAUUUGCUCUCCGUUUCUGGAUUCAACUUGAUUACAUUUGGUAUUACCUGGAAUGAAAAUCAUAGACCAUCUCUUUGAAGUGUUAGGCUUAAAACUAGACACUGUGGCAGCCUCUGCUGUUUUACUUCAUUGGCUCUGCUGUUAUAUUUUAAGGUCAUCUUUCUUCCAGAGUGAUGGUAACAAUGAAAGAGUUUAUAGUCAUUAUCAUUGACCUUUAAUUUACUUUUUAAGUAGGUUUUUUUUUUCUUCUGCCUAUUCAGUAUUUAUAGCAACACCCAUUUGGGUCAUUUUGAUAUUAAAACCUUGAAAAAUAGAAUUGAAAUCCAUUCUUAAAUCCAUUUUGUUUAAUGUGAUAUAUUUUAUUGACACUCUUCUUUGAAAUCUGAAAGGUUUUUGGUCUUAUUUUGAGCAACAUGUCUAGCUUUUGGAAGUCUGAGUUUAUGUGGAACAUACAGUUAUCAGAUAACCUUCAUGGAAUCACUUGAUAAAUGGGAAUAAAACAUAGAACCAUUAGUGUUAUAUUAUUAGGAAAACUCUCUAGAUAGAUGAAGUAUAUAGACUAAAUUAUUUGGAGAAAAGAAUACAUAUUAGUGUCCUGCCAAAAUUCUGGAAGCCUUCUGUGUUUGUUUGUCUGUUUUAUUUUUUUAUUUUUUUCGAGACAGGGUUUCUCUGUGUAGCCUUGGCUGCCCUGGAACUCACUUUGUAGACCAGGCUGGCCUCGAACUCAGAAAUCCACCUGCCUCUGCCUCCCAAGUGCUGGGAUUAAAGGGGUGCGCCACCACGCCCUGCUGAAAGCCUUCUGUUAAAAAGGCUGCCAAAGUGGUCGAAAUACUUUGGGUUUGUUAUUGUUACUUGUUUUUGGUUUUAGACAGGGACAUGCUAAUUAGCUUUUUAGUCUUAGAUGAAAGUAAAAGAAAAAAGUAGUAUAGUAAGAGACUUCAAGAUGAUGAUUGCUCCUACAUAGUGCUGUCUUUCCAAACUAUAGCUGAGUUUGCUUGUAGGAGUGCUGACAGUUACUUCUCAAAGAAACAGUGAAUAUUCAAACUAUUAUCCAGAGGAUUAAGAAAAAUGAGCCUCUACUUCAAGUGAUAUUGAAGGAACACAUCCCUAUAGCUUGAGUUCUUAUAAAAAAAAGAUCAUCUUUGUUCCCUUCUACCACCUUCACUGGGUAAAUUUUAGAAGUAAAUCCAGGAAAAUUAGAUUAUAAACGAGUGCUUAGUGUGCUUCUUACUUGCUUUGGGAAAAGUGCAGAGCCUUUGAAGCGUUUGCUCUAGGAACCUAAUGUCCGAUUGAAGAUGGCUACAGACAGAUAACCAGACCUCGGGACAGUCAUGAAUGUAAGAAGCUGGGCAUUGUGGUACAUGCCAUUAAUCCCAGCCCUCUGAGGGUAGAGGCAGGAGGAUCAUUCCAAUCAUCUCUGCUAUGUGGGGAGUUCAAGGCCAACCUAGGCUCUAUGGUCAGACAGUACUUAUAAGCCGAAUGAAGAAACUUACC
Molecule: long non-coding RNA, 2133 nt
Filed under: Mus musculus (house mouse)
Lineage: Eukaryota; Metazoa; Chordata; Mammalia; Rodentia; Muridae
Description: long non-coding RNA chr11:3664832-3666965
Source: RNAcentral